RNAcentral lists this transfer RNA (66 nucleotides) under Phyllophorella liuwutiensis. RNAcentral's name for it is "tRNA-Pro". The record is from RNAcentral. Lineage: Eukaryota; Metazoa; Echinodermata; Holothuroidea; Dendrochirotida; Phyllophoridae.
CAGAAACUAGUUUAUAAAAAUAGUUAUUUUGGGGAUAACAGAUACAAGAUAUUCUUGUGUUUCUGA